AGUGAACGCUGGCGGUAGGCCUAACACAUGCAAGUCGAACGGCAGCACAGUAAGAGCUUGCUCUUACGGGUGGCGAGUGGCGGACGGGUGAGGAAUACAUCGGAAUCUACUUUUUCGUGGGGGAUAACGUAGGGAAACUUACGCUAAUACCGCAUACGACCUACGGGUGAAAGCAGGGGAUCUUCGGACCUUGCGCGAUUGAAUGAGCCGAUGUCGGAUUAGCUAGUUGGCGGGGUAAAGGCCCACCAAGGCGACGAUCCGCAGCUGGUCUGAGAGGAUGAUCAGCCACACUGGAACUGAGACACGGUCCAGACUCCUACGGGAGGCAGCAGUGGGGAAUAUUGGACAAUGGGCGCAAGCCUGAUCCAGCCAUACCGCGUGGGUGAAGAAGGCCUUCGGGUUGUAAAGCCCUUUUGCUGGGAAAGAAAAGCAGCAGGUUAAUACCCCGCUGUUCUGACGGUACCCAAAGAAUAAGCACCGGCUAACUUCGUG
Molecule: ribosomal RNA, 492 nt
Filed under: uncultured bacterium
Lineage: Bacteria
Description: partial 16S ribosomal RNA
Rfam family: Bacterial small subunit ribosomal RNA
Source: RNAcentral